GACGUAGGGCGCGAGCGUUGUCCGGAUUUAUUGGGCGUAAAGAGCUCGUAGGCGGCUUGUUGCGUCGGAUGUGAAAACCCAGGGCUCAACCCUGGGCCUGCAUUCGAUACGGGCAGACUAGAGUUCGGUAGGGGAGACUGGAAUUCCUGGUGUAGCGGUGAAAUGCGCAGAUAUCAGGAGGAACACCGGUGGCGAAGGCGGGUCUCUGGGCCGAAACUGACGCUGAGGAGCGAAAGCGUGGGGAGCAAACAGG
RNAcentral lists this ribosomal RNA (253 nucleotides) under uncultured bacterium. RNAcentral describes it as "partial 16S ribosomal RNA". It matches the Rfam family "Bacterial small subunit ribosomal RNA", at positions 524 to 776 of the family's 1533-position model. The record is from RNAcentral.